UACGAAGGGGGCUAGCGUUGCUCGGAAUCACUGGGCGUAAAGCGCACGUAGGCGGGUCGCUAAGUCGGGGGUGAAAUCCUGGAGCUUAACUCCGAAACUGCAUUCGAUACUGCCGUGCUUGAGGACUGGAGAGGAGACUGGAAUUUACGGUGUAGCGGUGAAAUGCGUAGAUAUCGUAAGGAAGACCAGUGGCGAAGGCGGGUCUCUGGACAGUUCCUGACGCUGAGGCACGAAGGCCAGGGGAGCAAACGGG
RNAcentral lists this ribosomal RNA (253 nucleotides) under uncultured bacterium. RNAcentral's name for it is "partial 16S ribosomal RNA". It matches the Rfam family "Bacterial small subunit ribosomal RNA", at positions 524 to 776 of the family's 1533-position model. The record is from RNAcentral.